RNAcentral lists this ribosomal RNA (440 nucleotides) under uncultured bacterium. RNAcentral's name for it is "partial 16S ribosomal RNA". It matches the Rfam family "Bacterial small subunit ribosomal RNA", at positions 338 to 795 of the family's 1533-position model. The record is from RNAcentral.
CAUACGGGUGGCAGCAGUGGGGAAUAUUGCACAAUGGGGGAAACCCUGAUGCAGCGACGCCGCGUGAGUGAAGAAGUAUUUCGGUAUGUAAAGCUCUAUCAGCCGGGAAGAAAAUGACGGUACCUGACUAAGAAGCCCCGGCUAACUACGUGCCAGCGGCCUAGGUAAUACGUAGGGGGCAAGCGUUAUCCGGAUUUACUGGGUGUAAAGGGAGCGUAGACGGUGAUGCAAGUCAGAAGUGAAAGCCCGGGGCUAAACUCCGGGACUGCUUUUGAUACUGUGUGACUGGAGUGCAGGAGUGGUAGGCGGAAUUCCUGGUGUAGCGGUGAAAUGCGUAGAUAUCAGGAGGAACACCAGUGGCGAAGGCGGCUUACGGGACUGUGACUGACGUUGAGGGUCGAAAGCGUGGGGAGCAAACAGGAUUAGAUACCCGGGUAGUC